This 939-nucleotide long non-coding RNA is filed under the name Phaseolus vulgaris (common bean). RNAcentral describes it as "long non-coding RNA (PVUL_LNC005056)". Lineage: Eukaryota; Viridiplantae; Streptophyta; Magnoliopsida; Fabales; Fabaceae. The record is from RNAcentral.
AACAAGUGUAAAUUGUUUUAUGCCCACAUCCCAGGCCCAAGAUGCGCAACAUAUCAAAUGUAAAUAAAACAUAUUUACGGAGGCCAAACAACUCUUCUAAAGAGAGUUUGACCUCUUUCUCUGGCACGCCAAGGUUUUCACCUAGAUCACCACCUUGUCCUCGUCACACCCACCAAAAUAAAUUUUCCAUCCACGACAUCUUUAUCUACAUCAUAACGAACAUCUUCAAGGGGGACGUCGUGGAAAAAAGCAGUCUGUCGUAUACCUUGAUAAAAACACUACUUGUUGAUACAAAGGAAGAAUGACUCAUAAUACUCUAGCUUCUCAGUCAUAGUCUUCUUUUCGGUUGCUGCUUCCUCCUCGAUCUUCGCACUGUCGGUUUUUUCUAUUUGGAAAUUUGCUUCUAGAGUUGCCACCUUAUUUUUUGUCUCGUCAGCCUCAGCACUGACUUGGCGAUACUUCUCGUCCAACAAUCUCAUGGCCUCCAAGGUCGUCUUCAAGGAGCUGGAGGACUCGUCUAAAUCUGCCUUCAACUCAGUGACUAAGUUCCUCUCCAGCUCAUUGUCGAGCGUUCGGCUCACAACAAGCGAGCGACUCAACAUUUCAAUUAAUCCUGCCACCAAGUCACUUGUCGGAAUGACAACCAGGAUACUCUACUCUUCGGGCAUCAUUGUUACUUGAAUAUCCUACGCCAGUUGAAGACGCUCACCCAACAUCAAAGGAGAAUGAGAAGAUGACCCAGUCUUGGUCCGAGGAUGGGAUGUCCUAGUCGGACGCCCUCUUUUCUUUGGGGUAGUGGGUUGUAAGGCAACCACUAGUGGCACCACAUCAACAAUAGGUGUCGAUGUCCCCACCCCUAUCAUCUCCAUGGACCCUUUUUGGAGUUUAGCUACUUAUGCUUCAAUUGUUUAAAAAAAUUUACAGUCUCGAAGUAAAACC